CCUACGGGUGGCAGCAGUGGGGAAUAUUGCACAAUGGGGGAAACUCUGAUGCAGCGACGCCGCGUGAGUGAAGAAGUAAUUCGUUAUGUAAAGCUCUAUCAUCUGGGACGAAAAUGACGGUACCUGAGUAAGAAGCCCCGGCUAACUCCGUGCCCGCAGCCGCGGGAAUACGUAGGGGGCAAGCGUUAUCCGGAUUGACUGGGUGUAAGGGGAGCGUGGAGGGCAGUGCAAGUGUGGAGUGAAAGGCAGGGGCUCAACACCCGGACUGCUCUGGAAACUGUACGGAUGGAGUGCAGGAGAGGUAAGUGGAAUUCCUAGUGUAGCGGUGAAAUGCGUAGAUAUUAGGAGGAACACCAGUGGCGAAGGCGACUUACUGGACUGUAACUGACGUUGAGGCUCGAAAGCGUGGGGAGCAAACAGGAUUAGAUACCCUUGUAGUC
RNAcentral lists this ribosomal RNA (440 nucleotides) under uncultured bacterium. RNAcentral describes it as "partial 16S ribosomal RNA". It matches the Rfam family "Bacterial small subunit ribosomal RNA", at positions 338 to 795 of the family's 1533-position model. The record is from RNAcentral.